GUAAAUUUCAGGGAAAGAUAGCUCCAAUUUUGAUUUUUGACAAAUUGCACACACGCAGAGUCUUGUCUUGAAGCUUUUUAUAUACAGGUUCACACCCAGAAAUUGCCCCUCUUCUCUUUUAUGUGGGUGAUGCUCUGAAGCCUAAAUGGAGAAGUUGAAUCGGAUUCCACUCAGAGAACGGCCGUGCGACGGGGAGGAGGAUGAUCGGAGCAUGGUGCAGGUCGAUGGUGGUGAGCUUGACGGUGGAUUCGAUGGAGGAGAGGAGGAGGAGGGCGUGAUGAAUGGAAUGGAAGAAGUGGCGCAAAUGAGUUCGAUGGAUUUUAAGAGUAAUAAUGGUUGUAUGGUUCAAUCAUCUAGGACCAGUGAGCUUACCAUCGCUUUUGAAGGCGAGGUCUAUGUUUUCCCUGCGGUUACGCCUCAAAAAGUGCAAGCAGUGCUGUUACUUCUGGGAGGGGCUGAUACACCUGCCAGUGUACCAAGUUCUGAAUUUUUGCUGCAACAGAAUGCUGGAGUAUAUCAUAGUGUGGGUGAUGCUUCUCGAGGAUCAAAACUUUCUCGAAGAAUUGCCUCCCUGGUAAGGUUCCGUGAAAAGCGUAAAGGAAGAUGCUUUGAAAAGAAAAUUCGGUACAAUUGCCGGAAAGAAGUUGCCGAGAGAAUGCAUCGUAAAAAUGGACAAUUUGCAUCACUGAAGGACUGUUACAACACAGAUGCUGGUAGCAACUGGGAACCAAGCAAUGGCACUCCUCAUUCUGAAU
This 755-nucleotide unclassified non-coding RNA is filed under the name Hevea brasiliensis (rubber tree). Lineage: Eukaryota; Viridiplantae; Streptophyta; Magnoliopsida; Malpighiales; Euphorbiaceae. The record is from RNAcentral.